CCAGACUCCUACGGGAGGCAGCAGUGGGGGAUAUUGCACAAUGGGGGGAACCCUGAUGCAGCGACGCCGCGUGGGUGAAGGAGCGUUUCGGCGCGUAAAGCCCUAUCGGCAGGGAAGAAGGAGGACGGUACCUGACUAAGAAGCCCCGGCUAACUACGUGCCAGCAGCCGCGGUAAUACGUAGGGGGCAAGCGUUAUCCGGAUUUACUGGGUGUAAAGGGGGCGCAGACGGCAGCGCAAGCCAGGAGUGAAAGCCCGGGGCCCAACCCCGGGACUGCUCUUGGAACUGCGCGGCCGGAGUGCAGGAGGGGCACGCGGAAUGCGCGGUGUAGCGGUGAAAUGCUUAGAUAUCGCGCAGAACCCCGAUUGCGAAGGCAGCGUACCGGCUCCACACUGACGCUGAGGCACGAAAGCGUGGGUAUCGAACAGGAUUAGAUACCCCCGUAC
Molecule: ribosomal RNA, 446 nt
Filed under: uncultured bacterium
Lineage: Bacteria
Description: partial 16S ribosomal RNA
Rfam family: Bacterial small subunit ribosomal RNA
Source: RNAcentral